GACAAACAUGGCCAAAUUAAGGUUAGUACAGUAAAAAAGAAGGUAAGAGGAAUAGGGCAAUAAUUGGAUGUGCUUUGUGAAAGAGAAAUUAUAUUUUUUGUAGAGGUGGAAUUUGAAUAAAAAAAGUAAUUUGCUGUUCUCUAUCUAAUAACUUGAAUCCUUGAAAUCUCAACUAAAGACCGGGAUUAGAUACCCCGUUAUUUGAGGUGUAAAUUUUAAUUUUAUUUAAUGAAUUUACUAGAGUAUUACGAGUUCUGUAAACUUAGUGUUUAUUUGAGUAGCUUAAAACUCAAAAGACUUGGCGGUGCCUUAAAUCCUUUCAGGGGAACCUGUCCUGUAAUUGAUAGUCCACGAUUUAUCUUUCCUUUUCUUGAAUAUUUAAAAAUCAGUUUGUAUACCGUCGUCGUCAGAUUACCUCUAAGAGUAAAGAAGUUAUCAGCUAGAUUAUUACAUUUUGCUGUGUCGAAAGUGAUACUAGCUUUUGUAAAAUUUCUGGACGUCAGAUCAAGGUGCAGCCUAUGAGAAGGAAGAGAUGGGUUACAAUAAUUAUUUAUUAUACGAAUUUUUUACUGUAAAGUAAAUUUGAAGGAGGACUUGAAAGUAAUAUGCUAAGAGAAAUAGAGAGUCUCGGUGAAGAUGGCUCUAAGGCGUGC
Molecule: ribosomal RNA, 653 nt
Filed under: Lithopoma caelatum
Lineage: Eukaryota; Metazoa; Mollusca; Gastropoda; Trochida; Turbinidae
Description: partial 12S ribosomal RNA
Rfam family: Bacterial small subunit ribosomal RNA (bases 275-653)
Source: RNAcentral